RNAcentral lists this ribosomal RNA (429 nucleotides) under Bacillota bacterium. RNAcentral describes it as "Firmicutes bacterium partial 16S ribosomal RNA". It matches the Rfam family "Bacterial small subunit ribosomal RNA", at positions 355 to 776 of the family's 1533-position model. The record is from RNAcentral. Lineage: Bacteria; Bacillati; Bacillota.
UGGGGAAUAUUGGACAAUGGGGGCAACCCUGAUCCAGCGACGCCGCGUGUGUGAAGAAGGCCUGCGGGUUGUAAAGCACUUUUAGUGGGGAUGAAAAGCCUAGGGUUAAUACCUCUGGGUCUUGACCUAACCCACAGAAAAAGCACCGGCUAACUCUGUGCCAGCAGCCGCGGUAAUACAGAGGGUGCAAGCGUUAAUCGGAAUUACUGGGCGUAAAGCGUGCGUAGACGGUUACAUAAGUCAGAUGUGAAAGCCCCGGGCUCAACCUGGGAAUUGCAUUUGAGACUGUGUAGCUAGGGUGCGGAAGAGGGAAGCGGAAUUUCCGGUGUAACGGUGAAAUGCGUAGAUAUCGGAAGGAACACCAGUGGCGAAAGCGGCUUCCUGGUCCAGCACCGACGUUCAGGCACGAAAGCGUGGGGAGCAAACAGG